CCUACGGGACGCACCAGUGGGGAAUAUUGCACAAUGGGCGCAAGCCUGAUGCAGCCAAGCCGCGUGUAUGAAGAAGGCCCUAGGGUUGUAAAGUACUUUCAGUCGGGAGGAAGGCGUUGAUGCUAAUAUCAUCAACGAUUGACGUUACCGACAGAAGAAGCACCGGCUAACUCCGCGCCAGCAGCCGCGGUAAUACGGAGGGUGCAAGCGUUAAUCGGAAUUACUGGGCGUAAAGCGCACGCAGGCGGUUGAUUAAGUUAGAUGUGAAAUCCCCGGGCUUAACCUGGGAAUGGCAUCUAAGACUGGUCAGCUAGAGUCUUGUAGAGGGGGGUAGAAUUCCAUGUGUAGCGGUGAAAUGCGUAGAUAUAUGGAGGAACACCAGUGGCGAAGGCGACUCUCUGGUCUGUAACUGACGCUGAGGCUCGAAAGCGUGGGGAGCAAACAGGAUUAGAUACCCCGGUAGUC
Molecule: ribosomal RNA, 465 nt
Filed under: uncultured bacterium
Lineage: Bacteria
Description: bacterial SSU rRNA
Rfam family: Bacterial small subunit ribosomal RNA
Source: RNAcentral